This is a long non-coding RNA of Oncorhynchus tshawytscha (Chinook salmon), 2247 nucleotides long. Lineage: Eukaryota; Metazoa; Chordata; Actinopteri; Salmoniformes; Salmonidae. The record is from Ensembl.
AUUAUUUUGGCUACCGCUAGAAGAAGAGAUCUCAGUGAUUUUGAUCAGAGAGGAAGCAUCGAAGAGAAAUGGUCCAAUCCCAUCAAAAUCUGUCCAUGUGGGAAUACGACAUUCUGUUUAUUAAGCAGACCUUAAUAAACCUUUGGGACAUGGACUCUCAUUGUUAGGGCGGAGACAAGAACAUCUCUUCAUUAUAUACUGUUUUGAAAGAGCGGUCUGAAAGGAGCAUAGGGUGUUUAAAAGGUAUGUGUGUCUGUCUCAGUCACCAGGCUCAACCCUAUUGGACACUUAUGUGAGAUUCUGGAGCGGCGCCUGAGAAGGGUUUUCCACGACCAUCAACAAAAUGAUGGCAUUCCUCCAAAAGAGUUCCAGACUUCUACAAUCUAUGCCAACGUGUACGAAGCCACGCCCUAUACAGACACUUUAUGUUGGUGUUUCCUUUAUUUUGGCAGUUACCUGCACCUGACCUUAUAUUAAAGGACCCACCAGAGGGGAAUGCCACCCUUAUUUCAAUGUAAUUCCUGCUUAAGAGCGGAAAUGCUUGUUUAGGUUCCAUCUCUGAAUAAUGAUGCAGACUACAUAUAGACCUACAUAUUCAUGAACUGCGGGUGGGAAGGAACGUCAUGGUGACUUCCACGUGGAGUGGACAAACAUCAACAAAUAGAUCACUUCAAACCACAACUGCAGUACAGUCAACAGAAAAGAAUCCCAGAGCUGCAGGAUCCAUGUUGGAACACAGAGGUCAUUUUCAACAGGACUCUUUUGUAUAAUGUCAUAUUUUGAUGAAGGGGUGCACUAUAAAGUAAAUGGUUAAACCUACAAUGCUCUUAUAGCUGGCUGAACUAUGAACCAACUAUCCAUUGUGCCAAUUAACAAAAACAUUAACAUUUAUCAAUGACCUUUCUGACCUUAAAUCAGUGGCACACAAGAUGAAGUACUACACAGUUGAGACUGGCAAUACUUUGGAUUCUCACAUUCAGUUUAUGAGACGACUCAACAACACCACAAGAUGUUUUACGGAAGUCAAGUCUCCAGAGGAGAGUGAUGUCAUCAUGGCUUUCUGUCCCAUCGUCUCUCGCGCCGGGACUGAUAUUGAAGCAGCACUGCAACAGAUUCCAAAGGGUAAAGAUGUCAUUCUGGUAGUGCUGCAUCACACCUUCAACCCAGACGACACUGUACCUUACAGCAGCAGACUAGUGACCAGAAGUGAUGUAAUACUCACAGUGGACUGUCUGUUCCAUGAGAGACUGGGAGGACUACUGGACUGUCCUCGCAAUGAUGCAGCAGUCAGAAAUAUUAGGCAGAAGUUUGACACAGUGGACUGUCUGUUCCAUGAGAGCCAGGGACUACUGGACUGUUCUCGCAAUGAUGCAGUAGUCAAAAAGAUUAAGCAGAAGCUUGACAUGACCAGAAGUUGUGGCUUCCCAGCUUGGAUUCUAAACGGUGUCAUGUGGGCAGUGUCUUCAGGCUACAACUACGUUUUCAUUCACAAUACACGUCCCUCUACAAGGCCUCGUUCUGGCAAUCUAUCUGUGAUUUGGAGCAAUAUAAUGUGCACAGUGUAUUCAGUCUACAGCUACCUCUGUACACGGCUUUCAUAUGUGAAGGCGCGCUUCUGGGACAAUAAUUAGGUUCCAGUAGGUUCAAAAUCCACAUCCCUCUUCAAGACCUCGUUCCAGAAGUGAUGAAAGCAGUUCCACUUUUGUACCAACAAUGAAGACAUGCUAAUAGUUUUUAUGGAUUCCAUCUUUAAUUCAUGGUCUACUUAAGAAAAUGUCUUUACUUUUGAUGGUAAGAGCACUUGCAGGUGUAAUGUAUAGAAAUUGGGGCCGAUAUUAAAAAUGUUAAUAAAAAUGAAUGGAAAAUAAUAAAGAAGAAACAGGAUCUGUGGAAGGGGAUGCAUCUCAACAUCACUGCUAGUUUGCACAUACAUCAUACUUCUGACACCAGUGUAGCAAACAGUGGGGGUAACCUGGGUUGCUUGACGCAAGAAAAACUUGCUAGCCACAAACUCAAUAGGGAUAGCUUUCUCUUUUCGAGGAGUUUGGAACAGGCAUACAAAGGCUUGACUUUUUCCAAUAGUUCGAUGACUAAGCUGAGCUAAGCUAAACAUUUUUUGUUCAUUUUUUUCACCUUUAUUUAACAAGGUUGGCCAGUUGAGAACAAGUUCUCAUUUACAACUGCGACCCGGCCAAGAUAAAGCAAAGCAGUGCGACACAAACAACACAGAGUUACACACGGUGAGGG